This 2007-nucleotide ribosomal RNA is filed under the name Klebsiella grimontii. RNAcentral's name for it is "23S ribosomal RNA". It matches the Rfam family "Bacterial large subunit ribosomal RNA", at positions 15 to 2044 of the family's 2925-position model. The record is from RNAcentral. Lineage: Bacteria; Pseudomonadati; Pseudomonadota; Gammaproteobacteria; Enterobacterales; Enterobacteriaceae.
GCGUACACGGUGGAUGCCCUGGCAGUCAGAGGCGAUGAAGGACGUGCUAAUCUGCGAAAAGCGUCGGUAAGGUGAUAUGAACCGUUAUAGCCGGCGAUGUCCGAAUGGGGAAACCCAGUGCAAUUCGUUGCACUAUCGUUUGAUGAAUACAUAGUCAAACGAGGCGAACCGGGGGAACUGAAACAUCUAAGUACCCCGAGGAAAAGAAAUCAACCGAGAUUCCCCCAGUAGCGGCGAGCGAACGGGGAGCAGCCCGGAGUCUGAAUCAGCUUGUGUGUUAGUGGAAGCGUCUGGAAAGUCGCAGGGUACAGGGUGAUACUCCCGUACACUAAAGCACACAGGUUGUGAACUCGAAGAGUAGGGCGGGACACGUGGUAUCCUGUCUGAAUAUGGGGGGACCAUCCUCCAAGGCUAAAUACUCCUGACUGACCGAUAGUGAACCAGUACCGUGAGGGAAAGGCGAAAAGAACCCCGGCGAGGGGAGUGAAAAAGAACCUGAAACCGUGUACGUACAAGCAGUAGGAGCCUCUUUAUGGGGUGACUGCGUACCUUUUGUAUAAUGGGUCAGCGACUUAUAUUCUGUAGCAAGGUUAACCGUAUAGGGGAGCCGCAGGGAAACCGAGUCUUAACUGGGCGUUAAGUUGCAGGGUAUAGACCCGAAACCCGGUGAUCUAGCCAUGGGCAGGUUGAAGGUUGGGUAACACUAACUGGAGGACCGAACCGACUAAUGUUGAAAAAUUAGCGGAUGACUUGUGGCUGGGGGUGAAAGGCCAAUCAAACCGGGAGAUAGCUGGUUCUCCCCGAAAGCUAUUUAGGUAGCGCCUCGUGAAUUCAUCUUCGGGGGUAGAGCACUGUUUCGGCUAGGGGGUCAUCCCGACUUACCAACCCGAUGCAAACUACGAAUACCGAAGAAUGUUAUCACGGGAGACACACGGCGGGUGCUAACGUCCGUCGUGAAGAGGGAAACAACCCAGACCGCCAGCUAAGGUCCCAAAGUCAUGGUUAAGUGGGAAACGAUGUGGGAAGGCCCAGACAGCCAGGAUGUUGGCUUAGAAGCAGCCAUCAUUUAAAGAAAGCGUAAUAGCUCACUGGUCGAGUCGGCCUGCGCGGAAGAUGUAACGGGGCUAAACCAUGCACCGAAGCUGCGGCAGCGACACUAUGUGUUGUUGGGUAGGGGAGCGUUCUGUAAGCCGUUGAAGGUGGCCUGUGAGGGUUGCUGGAGGUAUCAGAAGUGCGAAUGCUGACAUAAGUAACGAUAAUGCGGGUGAAAAACCCGCACGCCGGAAGACCAAGGGUUCCUGUCCAACGUUAAUCGGGGCAGGGUGAGUCGACCCCUAAGGCGAGGCCGAAAGGCGUAGUCGAUGGGAAACAGGUUAAUAUUCCUGUACUCGGUGUUACUGCGAAGGGGGGACGGAGAAGGCUAUGUUGGCCGGGCGACGGUUGUCCCGGUUUAAGCAUGUAGGCGGAUGUUCCAGGUAAAUCCGGAACGUUAUUAACGCUGAGGUGUGAUGACGAGGCACUACGGUGCUGAAGUGACAAAUGCCCUGCUUCCAGGAAAAGCCUCUAAGCAUCAGGUAACAUCAAAUCGUACCCCAAACCGACACAGGUGGUCAGGUAGAGAAUACCAAGGCGCUUGAGAGAACUCGGGUGAAGGAACUAGGCAAAAUGGUGCCGUAACUUCGGGAGAAGGCACGCUGAUAGGUAGGUGAAGUGGUUUACCCAUGGAGCUGAAAUCAGUCGAAGAUACCAGCUGGCUGCAACUGUUUAUUAAAAACACAGCACUGUGCAAACACGAAAGUGGACGUAUACGGUGUGACGCCUGCCCGGUGCCGGAAGGUUAAUUGAUGGGGUUAUCCGUAAGGAGAAGCUCUUGAUCGAAGCCCCGGUAAACGGCGGCCGUAACUAUAACGGUCCUAAGGUAGCGAAAUUCCUUGUCGGGUAAGUUCCGACCUGCACGAAUGGCGUAAUGAUGGCCAGGCUGUCUCCACCCGAGACUCAGUGAAAUUG